UGCUUAGUGCUUAUGGUAUUCGUUCACUCCACACGCUCAUUUGAACCAUUUAUUGGAGUUCUACAUGCAACAAAAUUCCAGCUUGCUGAAAGCUUCCAUGGUUGUAGGUUUUCAGCUUGGGUACACAGUGAUAUUUGGGUCAUAUGCAUCAUUUCUCUUUGUUCGAACUGGUUGGUCAUGAUUCUCUUAUUUUUCUUUAUCUUAUUCUGAAGUUUUUCCGAUAGGCAAAGCAUUUUUAUUUGUUUCAUAAUGGUUUAAAAACGGUUGAGGCGUGCUCCUCGAGGCCCGCCUCAAGGCGAACCACCAAUUCCGUCAACAGUGGAAUCAUACCCCGGCGCCGGUGUUCUGGCACCACUAGCAACCGUGGCGUGCAUUGCCAUGAUCAUCAAGGCGAGGGGCGCCUUGAGGCGCGCUUCAUAGGGCUGAGGCUCUAAGCAUAGUUGUCAAUAGCGAAUGACAGUCAAUAGCGACAGGCUACGUAUAUGCUACGUGUUGGUUCAGGUCCCACAAUACACACACAACACACACUUAUACUCUCACGUAGUAGUAAUUAUUAUGUAUAUGUGAAUAGGAAGAUAGAGAAAGCUUGCAGAAUUUCAAUCUAUAUUUACGAAUGAAGGGUUACGUAAAUAACAUACUUCUAUCCUAUUUAUAACUAAAGCCAAAUACAUGUAAAUAGAAAAUAAAUAAACAAUCUCCACGUAAAAAGUUGCAUGCCAUGAUCUCCGAUUUACUUGGUCAGCCAACACAUAAUUCGGUCGACGCAAGACCUUUUCUAUUCCUUUAUUCCCUAUUAACACAUGCUGAAACAAAUAACCAGGAUGACCCAUUUGAAUAACCCAUGACCAUGACCCGCAACGUGUUACCUGAGCUGAACCCGUGACCCGAUAACCGCGUGACCCGUAAACAAACCCGAAUAAUCCAACACUACGUAGUGAUAGCAACAAAAUAGCGCCCGCUAUUUCAUGUUUAGCAAUAAUGCAGAGAAACAAAAAAAAAUGCAUGUUAUCGAGCAGUAGAGAUGAGGAAAACAUAGAAAAAUACAUGUUAUAAGACGAAACCUGAGGUAUCGAGCAGUGGAGAUGAGAAAGAAAAUCUAAAAAAUUCUCUAUAUAUCGCUUUAUACCAUAUAGCGGCAUAUGACCUAUACGCUAUGUAGCGUGCACUAUUGACAACCAUGGUGCUAAAAAAAGUUGCGCCUCAAGGGGGUUUUGAUGUUUGUUUUGACUUUUGUGUCAAUAUCAGACAUUUCAUGCCUUUUUAUGUUUUUGAUGAAUCCGACGAUGAAAUUAGUUGGUAUCUUAUUUUUUAUAAAUUAUAUAAUAUUUAUGUAUUUUUUUAAUUCUGUCUCGGGCUUACGCCUCAUGAGGCGAAGGGAAAAUGCCUCGAGGCACGAUUCCAUACUCUUAAACCUUGUGUCUCAUUUGAAACUUGAAUUUAUUCCCAUUAAAACAAACAGGAAUUGGAGUUAAAAUAAUUAGGUUUGAACAUGGGUUCUUUUUGACCCAUAACCAAAUUUUUUGCUCAUGGGUCACAACCAGGUUGAUUUUUGGGCUUGAGCCCACCAGUUGGCAAACUAAUUGUUUUUGGUCCAAUAGUGUAGUUGAAGUCACAAUAUACCAUGUUCUAGCAAGGAUUAUAACUAUUAAGGUACUUUGUUUUCAACACCCACUAUACAUUAUCCAUCCUCCCAUCACUGUAUCAGGCAACCACCCUGUUGUUUUUCUAAUCAAACUAGUUAUAAAAACAGUCGCCGCGUUGCGGCGAACUUAUUUUGUUAUUUAGUCUGUGUUUAUAUGUGUUUGAAAUCACUACGAGCGCGUUGCACACGAAAUCG
RNAcentral lists this long non-coding RNA (1837 nucleotides) under Helianthus annuus (common sunflower). Its description in RNAcentral is "hypothetical non coding rna". The record is from RNAcentral. Lineage: Eukaryota; Viridiplantae; Streptophyta; Magnoliopsida; Asterales; Asteraceae.